CCUACGGGGGGCAGCAGUGAGGAAUAUUGGUCAAUGGACGAGAGUCUGAACCAGCCAAGUAGCGUGAAGGAUGACUGCCCUAUGGGUUGUAAACUUCUUUUAUAAAGGAAUAAAACGAGGCACGUGUGCCUUUUUGCAUGUACUUUAUGAAUAAGGAUCGGCUAACUCCGUGCCAGCAGCCGCGGUAAUACGGAGGAUCCGAGCGUUAUCCGGAUUUAUUGGGUUUAAAGGGAGCGUAGAUGGGUUGUUAAGUCAGUUGUGAAAGUUUGCGGCUCAACCGUAAAAUUGCAAUUGAUACUGGCAGUCGUGAGUACAGUUGAGGUAAGCGGAAUUCGUGGUGUAGCGGUGAAAUGCUUAGAUAUCACGAAGAACCCCGAUUGCGAAGGCAGCUUACUAAACUGUGACUGACAUUGAUGCUCGAAAGUGUGGGUAUCAAACAGGAUUAGAUACCCGAGUAGGC
Molecule: ribosomal RNA, 460 nt
Filed under: uncultured bacterium
Lineage: Bacteria
Description: partial 16S ribosomal RNA
Rfam family: Bacterial small subunit ribosomal RNA
Source: RNAcentral